GGGUAAGUGGCUGAGUGGUUUAAAGCGUUUAACUUGAAAUUAAAUAUGUGAACAACAUGCGGAGGUUCGAAUCCUUUCUUGCCCG
Molecule: transfer RNA, 85 nt
Filed under: Actinomortierella ambigua
Lineage: Eukaryota; Fungi; Mortierellomycota; Mortierellomycetes; Mortierellales; Mortierellaceae
Rfam family: tRNA
About the family: Transfer RNA (tRNA) molecules are approximately 80 nucleotides in length.
Source: Rfam by way of RNAcentral